GAUAUGAUAAUGAGUUAUCAGACUCCAAUUCAUGCUCCAAAUUCAUUAAGAACAACAGAUAGUGCCGGUUCUAACAAGGAAAUGUCCAUGAUAUCGACUCUGGCACUGAGUCCUCCCAACAGACUGUGUUACGACCGCCACUUCAAGCCUACAGAUGUAGCAGUUCAUACGAAGCAAAACAAGCACUCAAGAGGCAGAGGGAAAGUGCCCGGUAUGAGCAACAUAAACAAGGUAUAUUACAAAGCCUACAUGACAAACGGUGUCGAGCCAAAUCUACAGUAGUCCUUACAACUGGUGAACAAAAACAAUCUGACACAGUUGAUGAAGAUUGUGAUUGGCUACGAAGCAUCUACAAGUAAGGUUAGGUGGAAGUGUAUUCUUAGAGAAUGCAUGCAUCUAUAAGAUGAUAAAGAUCGGUUGAUAUCCGUCC
Triticum dicoccoides is the source of this 430-nucleotide long non-coding RNA. RefSeq lists it as uncharacterized. The record is from RefSeq and is a predicted model, not a curated record. Lineage: Eukaryota; Viridiplantae; Streptophyta; Magnoliopsida; Poales; Poaceae. The transcript is spliced from 3 exons.